Molecule: RNA transcript, 1283 nt
Organism: Hevea brasiliensis (rubber tree)
Lineage: Eukaryota; Viridiplantae; Streptophyta; Magnoliopsida; Malpighiales; Euphorbiaceae
Exons: 5
Source: RefSeq, a predicted model, not a curated record
AUAUUAAAAAAAUAAUAAAAAUAGAGAAGUCUCUCCCUCUCAUCUCUAUUACACAAAAGGAGAGGUUACAGAAAUGCAGGGCAAUGAAGCCAGGGUCUUGCUAGGCUUCCCUCCCAAUUCCCGCCCCACCGCCUCCCAGGUUAAAGCUGCUUACAGAAAGAAGGUAUGGGAAUCUCAUCCUGACCUUUUUCCCGUUCACGAAAAGCCUAGUGCUGAGUCCAGGUUCAAGUUGAUUUCAGAAGCUUACACUUACCUGCUGUCUGGUAAUUUUCUCCUGUCUGCAUAUGUUAUGAGACAAAUCAAAGAGUAUUCCCAAGUGAUCAUGGUUUGCAAAAUCCCAAAUGGACUGUAAAGAAGUUAUUGGAUAAACUUGCAACUCGGAGUUUGAUGCUUAAGAUAUUUGAUUUAUUUAUAUUAUAAACUUUUAGAAAUGGAUUGUCAAACCAACCAUAUCAUUCUGUUUCCUGUCUAACUGUUGAGAUAUAUCCUGACUCUGUUGAUUAUGCGUUUCUUGUGUUUUAUUUAUUUAUUUUUUUUUUUGGUUUUUUUAAUCAUUAUUUAUCUUUUUGAGUGCCAAUAUGCCUGUUACUGUAGUUUUGAUAAUUUGCUCUGGUUUGCUUAAGAGAGGCCUCCAAUGGUUUUGAGGACAAUACAUAAAUCAAGCAAGAUGUGGGGGGUCAUGCAACAGGAAAGUUGCACUUGACGAAGCCACGAAGGACUUCCAGCGUGUCAAAAAACUAAAGGCUAUAAAAUUAUUACUGCUAAUUGCCAAAUUAUUCAAGGGAUGCCCUCACUUCGGUCAACAGGAUAUGUAUCAUACAUCCACUGGAACUUAUUGUUCCCCCGUCCUCUCUAUGUGGCUGCUUACUUUCUAAAUCCAACUUUCUGUUAUCAUCGAGAUUUCAUAAUGAAUCCUGAGGUUAUUCAUGGUCUAAACGAAUGUAUCGUGCUGCUGGAAGUUGACAACUGAAAAACAAUUUCUGCAUCUAUGCAGGUAGUGGUCUUCUGUGUUUUGUUGUUCUAUGGUGUGAUAAUUGAGGUCAGGCCUAAUGCUAUAGCAUUUUAUUUGCCUCCUUAAUGUUUCAAAGUCAAAAAGAGAAGCCAAUGUAAGUGGUGAGGUGACAUUUUUUCCUUAUUUUCAUUUGUCAAGCUCAAGUGCAUAUUUGUCGCUUAUUUUGGAACAGAUAUAGUAAUUUAGUUUUUAUAUACAAGGAUCACAUGGGUAGAAUGUAGGCGUAAGACUUGAAUAAUUUGUCUAAUCAUUGAGAGUGCCAUUCCAUUUA